Molecule: long non-coding RNA, 1464 nt
Filed under: Homo sapiens (human)
Lineage: Eukaryota; Metazoa; Chordata; Mammalia; Primates; Hominidae
Description: HSALNT0138359
Source: RNAcentral
CUUUAAGUACAGAUAACUAUCAGGGUAUGAAAAGGCAAGAAAACAUGACAAAAUGAAAGGAUUAUUGAUGGGCAAUAAAGGAAGCGUAGUAGGUUUACCUUGAGAUUUCACUGAGCUAAUAUACUGGCUCCCAUUUCUAUGUUUAUUGUAGGAAAAAGAGAAAAACACUAAUCCAGGGAUAGAGCUGACUAGGGAUGCCCAAGUCAAAAAGACUUUGUAGCACUGGGCUUGGCAGAGGGUCCUGAAGCUAAAUGCAGAAAACUGCGGGAAAUGUCUUCAACUGGGGCUAAAGGUCGUAAGCAAGGACAAUGAACCUGGAAUUUGGAGGAAUUCAUACUCCAGUGAAGAAUUUCCAGACCCCUCAUGAAAAUAGCAGAUUGCCUACUCACCAGAGAAUACUCAAGCUGAAACUAAGCAGCCCCUGGAGGGUAAGCAAAUGAUUAGAAGGGUAGAUUUCAGGCAAGCAAAAGGGUGAGAGCCCAGAAUCUCCAUGUGAAUGACCCUAAAAUUACAGGUAAUAUAGGAAGUGGCUUCCUUGUACCUCUAGAAAUUGAACUCUCAGAACCUGACUGACAGUCUGCUCUUAAGAACAUUACCUCAAUCUGGAGAGAAAUGUGUGUUUCCUCUCCUAUAUGGAUUUCAGACAGAAGCAGAAGGAGCAACCUAAAAAAUGAUGAGAGAGCAGCAUGACCUGAAGGCUGGGGGGCUUAGAGGUUCUUCGUCACAAGUUGCCAAAAUGAAACAGAACUGUGAAAAGAAAAUGGAGAUGCUUCUUCAGGAGGUGCCCGUGAUGUGAUUUACUUGAUGAUUAUGGCCUGCAGGGUAUUGAGAUGGGAUUAUGUAACUUAAAUAAACUGGAUAUGAGUAGAGAUCUGAAAGAUUUUUCAAAAACAUUCAGCUUUACUUUUUUUUUUCUCCUAAGGAACAAGUUGUUCACUCAUAGAGCUGAAAAGGAUAAAUGAAGUGUUCAGUUCACAGAAGCAAAAUAUGAGUAGUUCAUAUAUCUUUUGUAAAUGUUCUAUGUAUCACUGUAAACUAGACAUCUUCCACAUGCCCCUAUGUUUUUCCAUUUUGAAAUCAAUUUCUAGUUCAAACUUGUCAAUAGACAAUGAAUAUUUGCAAAGUUAUAGUUUCACUGAAUUAGGAUGUAACCUGUAGCUCACAAUGAAAAUGCCAUUAGCUUGAGUUUAAAAUUUAUGUUGCUAUUUUUUUCUUUUGUCAAUAUUUUCCUUCUGUGGGACUUAUUGCACAAGGGUCGGAUAUCACAACUGAGGGAAACUGCAGAACAAUGGUUCUUCCAAUCAUUCAGACCCAUUUAAGCCAUAGUCUUUGUUGGCUUUGCCAAAUGACUGAAUGCUUGGGUCUAUUAGCACUGUCAAAUAGUGUUGAGUACAUACUUGUGGCAUAAGCAAGUUAAUAUUUAUAGGGAGCACUUUUGCAUGUCUUUUAAGUCACAUACUAAUU